This 113-nucleotide ribosomal RNA is filed under the name Caballeronia glathei. Lineage: Bacteria; Pseudomonadati; Pseudomonadota; Betaproteobacteria; Burkholderiales; Burkholderiaceae. The record is from RNAcentral.
UGAUGACCAUAGCGAGUUGGUACCACCCCUUCCCAUCCCGAACAGGACCGUGAAACGACUCCACGCCGAUGAUAGUGCGGACCUCCCGUGUGAAAGUAGGUAAUCGUCAGGCU